UUGACGGGACCCGCACAAGCAGCGGAGCGUGUGGUUUAAUUCGUUGCUACACGAAGAACCUUACCUGGGUUUGACAUAUAGGUUGUAGGGGACUGAAAGGGACCGACCCUUCGGGGAGCCUAUACAGGUGUUGCAUGGCUGUCGUCAGCUCGUGUCGUGAGAUGUUCGGUUAAGUCCGCUAACGAGCGCAACCCUCGUCGUAUGUUAUAUGUGUCAUACGAGACUGCCGGUAAAAGCCGGAGGAAGGUGAGGAUGAUGUCAAGUCAGCAUGACCUUUAUAUCCAGGGCUACACACACGCUACAAUGGUCUGUACAAUGGGUAGCCAAGCCGCGAGGCGGAGCCAAUCCUGAAAGCAGGCCUCAGUUCAGAUUGCAGUCUGCAACUCGACUGCAUGAAGCCGGAGUUGCUAGUAACCGCAGGUCAGCAAUACUGCGGUGAAUACGUUCCCGGGUCUU
Molecule: ribosomal RNA, 456 nt
Filed under: uncultured Anaerolineaceae bacterium
Lineage: Bacteria; Bacillati; Chloroflexota; Anaerolineae; Anaerolineales; Anaerolineaceae
Description: bacterial SSU rRNA
Rfam family: Bacterial small subunit ribosomal RNA
Source: RNAcentral